CACGAUCGACGCCGCGUGAGCGAUGAAGGCCAUUAGGUUGUAAGCUCUGUCGAGGGGGAACAAGCCGCAAGGUUGAGUGAUCCCUGGAGGAAGCACGGGCUAAGUUCGUGCCAGCAGCCGCGGUAAGACGAACCGUGCGAACGUUGUUCGGAAUCAUUGGGCUUAAAGGGCGCGUAGGCGGGUUGACAAGUCCGGGGUGAAAGCCUCCAGCUCAACUGGAGAAGAGCCCCGGAUACUGUCAGUCUGGAGAGGGAUAGGGGCACAUGGAACUUCCGGUGGAGCGGUGAAAUGCGUAGAGAUCGGAAGGAACGCCGGUGGCGAAAGCGAUGUGCUGGAUCUUUUCUGACGCUGAGGCGCGAAAGCUAGGGGAGCAAACGGGAUUAGAUACCCCGGUAGUCCUAGCCCUAAACGAUGGGUACUGGGUUGCGGGUCAGACAUAGACUCGCAGCCGGAGCAAAAGUGUUAAAGUACCCCGCCUGGGGAGUAUGGUCGCAAGGCUGAAACUCAAAGGAAUUGACGGGGGCUCACACAAGCGGU
Molecule: ribosomal RNA, 537 nt
Filed under: uncultured bacterium
Lineage: Bacteria
Description: bacterial SSU rRNA
Rfam family: Bacterial small subunit ribosomal RNA
Source: RNAcentral